Molecule: ribosomal RNA, 1571 nt
Filed under: Escherichia coli
Lineage: Bacteria; Pseudomonadati; Pseudomonadota; Gammaproteobacteria; Enterobacterales; Enterobacteriaceae
Description: bacterial LSU rRNA
Rfam family: Bacterial large subunit ribosomal RNA
Source: RNAcentral
AUGCUGGAGGUAUCAGAAGUGCGAAUGCUGACAUAAGUAACGAUAAAGCGGGUGAAAAGCCCGCUCGCCGGAAGACCAAGGGUUCCUGUCCAACGUUAAUCGGGGCAGGGUGAGUCGACCCCUAAGGCGAGGCCGAAAGGCGUAGUCGAUGGGAAACAGGUUAAUAUUCCUGUACUUGGUGUUACUGCGAAGGGGGGACGGAGAAGGCUAUGUUGGCCGGGCGACGGUUGUCCCGGUUUAAGCGUGUAGGCUGGUUUUCCAGGCAAAUCCGGAAAAUCAAGGCUGAGGCGUGAUGACGAGGCACUACGGUGCUGAAGCAACAAAUGCCCUGCUUCCAGGAAAAGCCUCUAAGCAUCAGGUAACAUCAAAUCGUACCCCAAACCGACACAGGUGGUCAGGUAGAGAAUACCAAGGCGCUUGAGAGAACUCGGGUGAAGGAACUAGGCAAAAUGGUGCCGUAACUUCGGGAGAAGGCACGCUGAUAUGUAGGUGAAGUCCCUCGCGGAUGGAGCUGAAAUCAGUCGAAGAUACCAGCUGGCUGCAACUGUUUAUUAAAAACACAGCACUGUGCAAACACGAAAGUGGACGUAUACGGUGUGACGCCUGCCCGGUGCCGGAAGGUUAAUUGAUGGGGUUAGCGCAAGCGAAGCUCUUGAUCGAAGCCCCGGUAAACGGCGGCCGUAACUAUAACGGUCCUAAGGUAGCGAAAUUCCUUGUCGGGUAAGUUCCGACCUGCACGAAUGGCGUAAUGAUGGCCAGGCUGUCUCCACCCGAGACUCAGUGAAAUUGAACUCGCUGUGAAGAUGCAGUGUACCCGCGGCAAGACGGAAAGACCCCGUGAACCUUUACUAUAGCUUGACACUGAACAUUGAGCCUUGAUGUGUAGGAUAGGUGGGAGGCUUUGAAGUGUGGACGCCAGUCUGCAUGGAGCCGACCUUGAAAUACCACCCUUUAAUGUUUGAUGUUCUAACGUGGACCCGUGAUCCGGGUUGCGGACAGUGUCUGGUGGGUAGUUUGACUGGGGCGGUCUCCUCCUAAAGAGUAACGGAGGAGCACGAAGGUUGGCUAAUCCUGGUCGGACAUCAGGAGGUUAGUGCAAUGGCAUAAGCCAGCUUGACUGCGAGCGUGACGGCGCGAGCAGGUGCGAAAGCAGGUCAUAGUGAUCCGGUGGUUCUGAAUGGAAGGGCCAUCGCUCAACGGAUAAAAGGUACUCCGGGGAUAACAGGCUGAUACCGCCCAAGAGUUCAUAUCGACGGCGGUGUUUGGCACCUCGAUGUCGGCUCAUCACAUCCUGGGGCUGAAGUAGGUCCCAAGGGUAUGGCUGUUCGCCAUUUAAAGUGGUACGCGAGCUGGGUUUAGAACGUCGUGAGACAGUUCGGUCCCUAUCUGCCGUGGGCGCUGGAGAACUGAGGGGGGCUGCUCCUAGUACGAGAGGACCGGAGUGGACGCAUCACUGGUGUUCGGGUUGUCAUGCCAAUGGCACUGCCCGGUAGCUAAAUGCGGAAGAGAUAAGUGCUGAAAGCAUCUAAGCACGAAACUUGCCCCGAGAUGAGUUCUCCCUGACUCCUUGA